UACAAGAAAUGAAAAUGGCAGCACCAGGUCUCUCCUGUCAAGCAUUUCUUAAAAUGCUGGACCAAUGAACCGUCCGCUUUGGCCGUACAGGAAAGAUCUCGACUGACGGCUUCCUGAAAAGUCUUUUCGAGUGGGAAACCAUAGGAUAUGAGUUGGAUAAAAUGUUAAGGAAGGAUCCCUUCAAGUUUUAAGCUUGUACCCCAGAUAUGCUUGCAUUUUCAGUGGAUGGAAACUGCAAACAUUGCCGUUUUAAGAAUGCAGCAAGAUUGGAGGAACAGGCUAUAUUUUAGGACCUUUACAUAGCCAAGGAUGAGACGUAGGAAAAUUUGUGGACUACAUACACAAAUCAACCAAACAUAGUUCUGGAAGA
Molecule: long non-coding RNA, 370 nt
Organism: Poecilia latipinna (sailfin molly)
Lineage: Eukaryota; Metazoa; Chordata; Actinopteri; Cyprinodontiformes; Poeciliidae
Exons: 4
Source: RefSeq, a predicted model, not a curated record